UAAGAGGCUUGGAGAGUACAGGGUGGCUUGUUAUCCUUUUGGUGUUGGAUAUUGGAGCAAGAUGUAGAAGAUUGGUUGGAAAAGACCUUUAAAAUCACAAGGUCCAACGAUUAUCCAGCUUCCUAAGAUCCAGCACUGCAGCUGUGACCCUCAGCAGCCCAGCUCUUGUCUCUUAAAUGUCUCCGGGGGACGUUAAUUAGGUUUUUUGUUUUCAAUCUGAUGAAGAAAAUCCUCCUGUAGUUUGAAGUCUUCGGCUCCUGGCUUGUUCCACUCACUGACAACAGGAUUUCAGCACUUUGGCUUUAUUGUUUUAUUUAUUAACCUGGGGUUGGCUCAUCAAGGAGGAGACUGAAGCUGUUGUGGAGAAGGCAUGGAGGUUCACCCAGCACUGUGGAUUCAUGGAUGCAACCCAAAGACUGGAGAGUGCUCCACGCUUGGAGGGAUGAAGAGAGCUGUCCAGCCCCUGCAGGACUCUGUGGUACAGGUUCUUUGGAUUGCAUCUCUUCUCCUCUUGAGAGUUAAGAUCAGCUGCAAGUUCUGGAUGCUUCAAGUGGCCAUCAUCCAGGGAGGACUCUGUCCAUUCUGCCUUUGAUCCUGAUCCAUGAGUUCCUGAAUUCCAGAAUCCAGCUCUUGAAUGUGGGUCCCAUCUGCUCCCCAGUCCUGUCUGGGACUUCUGCCACAGCAUCAGUGGUGGACGGUGAUCAACCGCCAUCAGAGAUUGGGGUCCACACUGCACUGAGUGUGAAUGCCCUGAGUGCUCUUGCUGGCAUGAGGAAGAUGGUCAUCUGGAUUUAAUCCAAAUGCUGCCUAUCUCAGGUGAGCCUCAGGCACUGCUGUAGUGGCAAGUCAUGCUGCACCUCCUCAUAGUGAUGCUUUUCUCUCUCUGUCUCUGGACACUCUAAACUACAAAAGUGGCACAAAUGAACCUGGGGCUGAUGUGCUCCAGUGAUUGCUGUGUUUCCAUAUCUCACCUGGAUGACUGUGGCUCUCUAACAUAGGUGAGACUACCUGGAGAGGGUUACCUGGUGUUUGGUGCCUGGCCAGUGAGCCAGUUUUCCUCCCAGAUACCAGCUAGAGGUUCCCCACGGGCACUUGGCCAGCGCAGCAGAACUGAGCAUCACUCAGACAGAGGUUGCUGAGGGGUUCCUGCCCAGUGGUGAUGAUUCGCUGCCUGUGACCUCAUUAAACCAAUCUGGCUGGGACUGCUAAUCACAUAAAUAAAGGAUUAAACCACAGCAUUAACCUUCUACAGGGAAACCUGCCCUGGCAACACUGACAGAAUUAGAGCUAUUAAUUAUUUACCGGGUCAUUCGAUAGCAAUGUAUAGAGAUUGCAUAUGAGGAGCACUUGAAGCAAUAAGUUAACCAUAAAUUAUUGCUCUGCUAAGAAUCUUUUAAUAUUUCUCUUCUAAUGCCCUGAAUUAAAAGCCACCUUGCUUCUCUCUCCCUAAGACAGCAGCACCAAAUAAAU
Pogoniulus pusillus (Red-fronted tinkerbird) is the source of this 1470-nucleotide long non-coding RNA. RefSeq lists it as uncharacterized. NCBI's taxonomy places the organism in Eukaryota, Metazoa, Chordata, Aves, Piciformes, Lybiidae. The record is from RefSeq and is a predicted model, not a curated record. The transcript has 5 exons.